RNAcentral lists this ribosomal RNA (253 nucleotides) under uncultured bacterium. RNAcentral's name for it is "partial 16S ribosomal RNA". It matches the Rfam family "Bacterial small subunit ribosomal RNA", at positions 524 to 776 of the family's 1533-position model. The record is from RNAcentral.
UACGUAGGGUGCGAGCGUUGUCCGGAAUUAUUGGGCGUAAAGAGCUUGUAGGCGGUUUGUCGCGUCUGCUGUGAAAAUCCGGGGCUCAACCCCGGACUUGCAGUGGGUACGGGCAGACUAGAGUGUGGUAGGGGAGACUGGAAUUCCUGGUGUAGCGGUGAAAUGCGCAGAUAUCAGGACGAACACCGAUGGCGAAGGCAGGUCUCUGGGCCACUACUGACGCUGAGAAGCGAAAGCAUGGGGAGCGAACAGG